This is a long non-coding RNA of Lepidothrix coronata (blue-crowned manakin), 283 nucleotides long. RefSeq lists it as uncharacterized. The record is from RefSeq and is a predicted model, not a curated record. NCBI's taxonomy places the organism in Eukaryota, Metazoa, Chordata, Aves, Passeriformes, Pipridae. The transcript is spliced from 3 exons.
UGCCUGUAGGUGUAGAAGGCCAGGGGGUGGCUGGGCUCCUUCUUCCCCCCCCUCCGGGGGGAGAGGGGAGCCCUGCGGCCCCCAACUCUGCCAAGGCCAGAGUUAGAGACAGCAUUGGACAGCCUACAGAACUGAGAUAUGAGACCAAGAGUGAGAGAUCACAAAGCAGAAAUGACACAGGACCGAGGAGAAAGGACUCAGAGCUACCUUCUUGGACUUCGUGAGGAAGGAAGGACUUCCACAAACAGCUGGAGCUUGGUGAGGGGGGAGCUCUGAAGAGCAC